GAUGAAGAACGUAGUGAAAUGCGAUACGUAAUGUGAAUUGCAAAUUCAGUGAAUCAUCGAGUCUUUGAACGCACAUUGCGCCCCCUGGUAUUCCGGGGGGCAUGCCUGUCCGAGCGUCAUUGCUGCCCUCAAGCACGGCUUGUGUGUUGGGCCCCGUCCUCCGAUCCCGGGGGACGGGCCCGAAAGGCAGCGGCGGCACCGCGUCCGGUCCUCGAGCGUAUGGGGCUUUGUCACCCGCUCUGUAGGCCCGGCCGGCGCUUGCCGAUCAACCCAAAUUUUUAUCCAGGUUGACCUCGGAUCAGGUAGGGAUACCCGCUGAACUUAAGCAUAUCAAUAAGGGAGGA
RNAcentral lists this unclassified non-coding RNA (344 nucleotides) under soil metagenome. RNAcentral's name for it is "partial contains 5.8S ribosomal RNA, internal transcribed spacer 2, and large subunit ribosomal RNA". The stretch from base 1 to 119 matches the Rfam family "5.8S ribosomal RNA", at positions 35 to 154 of the family's 154-position model. The record is from RNAcentral.